UUCUAGACUUGCUUUGCAUGACGGGCUCUCCGUGCUUAUGUGCGGCCAACCGACAUGGGGCUGUCUCUUCAUUCUCCCUCUCGUCAUUACAUUUGUCGGGAUGUGAUGCUCGUAAUUGGUUGCCUGUGUGGUUCUACCCUUUUGUGGGUAGCGAAGUCGUCCCUUGAUGCACAUUUACUUGCCCUGUUGACAUUGUUUUGUCGCUCGGGCAGUCGAAAUGUCGGCAAAAUCCUUGUGUUGUUGCGUGGGCGAAUGCCUUGUUACUGUCACUUGGUUUUUUGUCGGCUCUCACGGAUGCUGUGCCUAUUGUUAGCUCUGCGGGACUCUGUCCCGCAGACUUCGGGAGGUCCCUUGUAUGGAUCAUUGCUCUGGCGCUCGAUUUUCAUGUUGUUCAUGGCGACAUGCCAAAUCUGUGCGCGGGUAGCGUGCUCACGUGCAUGUGGAAUGCCUCACCGAUUGAAUGAGCAGCGAUUGCUGGUUUUCGUCAUGCGAAGGUCCUCCCAUUCGGGUUGGUGCUGGAGAUGACGUGCCGGCUCUCGUUNAAGACGUGCUACCUGGUUGAU
RNAcentral lists this unclassified non-coding RNA (563 nucleotides) under Trichophorum alpinum. RNAcentral describes it as "external transcribed spacer 1". Lineage: Eukaryota; Viridiplantae; Streptophyta; Magnoliopsida; Poales; Cyperaceae. The record is from RNAcentral.